CAGCCCUCUCCGCAUCUAUCCUGAUGUGUACAUUGGAUUGCGACACCGACAUAUUGUUUAAUAUUCUCAUGGAAGAUUAGCCCUGAGCUAACAUCUGCACUCAUCUUCCUCUACUUUGUAUGUGGGACGCCUGCCACAGCAUGGCUUGAUAAGUGGUGCAUGGGUCAGCACUGGGAUCUGAACUGGUGAACCCCAGGCCACUGAAGUGAAAUGUACGAACUUAACUGCUGCACCACCAGGCUGGCGGCUGGAUCGUGCUUGUUAAUUCAUUUAUUUACUCUGUGUCUUUUGAUUGAAGAACCUAAUCCUCUACAUUUAAAGUAAUGAUUCAUUACUAAACACUUAGUUUGCUCAUUUUGCUUAUGUUUUCUGUCUGUUUUUUAUUUCUUUUGUCCCUCUUUUCUUGUCUUGUUUUCUUCUUUUGUGAUUUGUUGAUGUUUUGUAGUGGUAUUCUUUGAUUCUUUACUCUUUAUCUUUUUAUAUCUACUAGAGGUUUCUUCUUUGUGGUUACCAUGAGAGUUACAUAAAACAUCUCAUAACAGUCUAUUUUAAGCUGAUAGCAACUUAACUUCAAUUGCAUACAAAAAUUUUACACUUUUACUCCCUCCUCCACAUUUUAUGCUAUUGAUGUCAUGCUUAACAUAUUUUUAUAUUGUGUAUCCAUUAACAAAUUAUUGUAGCUAUAGUUAUUCUAAAUGCUUUUGUCUUUUAACUUUCGUACUAGAGUUAAAAGUGAUUUACGCACCACAGUACAGUAUUAGGGUAUUCUGAGUUUGACUAUAUAGUUACCUUUACUGUGAGUGAGUUUUAUACUUUCAUAUGUCUUCAGGUUGUUACUUAGUGUCCUUCUAUUUCAGCUUGAAGAACUUCCUUUAGCAGUUUUAUAAGGCACGUCUAGUGGUGAUGCUUUUGUUUGAAUGAGAAUACCUUUAUCUCUUUAUUUCUGGAGUACAGCUCUGCAAUGUAUAAUAUUCUCUUUUUUUCUUUGAGCACUUAGUCCAGAUCACUUCUGACUUGCAAAAUUGCUGAUGAGAAGUACACUGAUAGCCUUAUGGAGGUUCCCUUGUAUGUGAUGAGUUCUUUUCUCUUGCUGCUUUCAAAAUUCUGUCUUUGAGUUUUGAGAGUUUAUUUAUAAUUUUUCUCAGGAUAAUCUUCUUUGAGUUGAUCUUGUUUGAGGUCCUUUAAGUUUCAUGUAUCCUGAUGUUCAUAUCUUUUCCACGGUUUGAGAAGUCUUUAGCCCUUAUUUUUUUUAGUAAGCUUUCUGCUCCUUUCUCUGUCUCUUCUCCUUAGACUCACAUAAUGCUUCAUGGUGUCCUAUAUGUUUUCUUCAUUCUUUUUCAUUUUUUUUCUUUUCAUUCUUCUCUUCUAACUGGC
This 1374-nucleotide long non-coding RNA is filed under the name Equus caballus (horse). RNAcentral describes it as "lncRNA (ENSECAG00000058439.1)". Lineage: Eukaryota; Metazoa; Chordata; Mammalia; Perissodactyla; Equidae. The record is from RNAcentral.